GAUGAACGCUGGCGGCGUGCUUAACACAUGCAAGUCGAACGAAGCACUGUAUUUGAUUUCCUUCGGGACUGAUUAUUUUGUGACUGAGUGGCGGACGGGUGAGUAACGCGUGGGUAACCUGCCUUGUACAGGGGGAUAACAGUUGGAAACGGCUGCUAAUACCGCAUAAGCGCCCGGCAUCGCAUGAUGCAGUGUGAAAAACUCCGGUGGUAUAAGAUGGACCCGCGUUGGAUUAGCUAGUUGGUGAGGUAACGGCCCACCAAGGCGACGAUCCAUAGCCGAGCUGAGAGGGUGAGCGGCCACAUUGGGAGUGAGACACGGCGCAGACUCCUACGGGAGGGAGCAGAGGGGAAUAUUGCAAAAUGGGCGAAAGCCUGAUGGAGCUACGCCGCGUGAGCGAAGAAGUAUUGCGGUAUGUAAAGCUCUAUCAGAAGGGAAGAUAAUGACGGUACCUGAAUAAGAAGCACCGGCUAAAUACGUG
Molecule: ribosomal RNA, 481 nt
Filed under: uncultured bacterium
Lineage: Bacteria
Description: partial 16S ribosomal RNA
Rfam family: Bacterial small subunit ribosomal RNA
Source: RNAcentral